UGAGCUUCAGGGUAUUCCCUACAAUAUACGACAUAGUUAUUGGUGGUUGUUUUAUUGUUGUUGCACAUCCCUCUGAGGGCUGUACCUUAAGGCAGGCUGCCCUUUUGUAUUCUCUGUAUGUCAAAUUCCUUAUUGACUAGCUGUGUGUUGCUUGGCAUUUGUUGAACAUGUAUGUUUUAUCCCUAUCAGAUAUUGGGGCUAUAUACAACUUGAUUAUAAAGUUGCAACUUACUCCCUCCGUUCCAAAAUAGAUGACCCAACUUUGUAUUAAAGUUAGUAUAAAGUUGAGUCAUCUAUUUUGGAACAGAGGGAGUAGAUUUUAUGAUCUCGAAUCUCACCAGUUGUGCACAACUCCUGUACAGCAU
This 365-nucleotide long non-coding RNA is filed under the name Triticum aestivum (bread wheat). Its description in RNAcentral is "long non-coding RNA (TAES_LNC027515)". Lineage: Eukaryota; Viridiplantae; Streptophyta; Magnoliopsida; Poales; Poaceae. The record is from RNAcentral.